UUUUUGGAAAAAAUAUUUAAGUAAUGUACAGAUUUUUUUUUGUCUUAUAUGGACGCUGCCCCCGCCGCCGCGGCCGGCCCGUACCGUGCCGCAAUACUAAUAUCGUGAUAUCUCCUAAACUAUAUGUCUAAAUAACACACUGUAAACUGCAAAAAUAAUCUAAAUUAAAUGCUCGUGAUGAUGAACUUACUUAUUUUGAUAAGGAUAUAUGUAUUAUUGGUUAUAUCACCAGUUAAACAUCACCCAACGAAUUAAAUGUUUUUUUAAUACAGAAAAGUAGUUUUUGUGACUUAAAUAAAAAAGCUGGAUAUAUGUCAUCGCGGACUUUUUUGUAGAACUAAUAAAGACCAAUGUUUUUGCUA
Amyelois transitella is the source of this 362-nucleotide long non-coding RNA. RefSeq lists it as uncharacterized. NCBI's taxonomy places the organism in Eukaryota, Metazoa, Arthropoda, Insecta, Lepidoptera, Pyralidae. The record is from RefSeq and is a predicted model, not a curated record. The transcript is spliced from 2 exons.